Molecule: ribosomal RNA, 800 nt
Filed under: uncultured bacterium
Lineage: Bacteria
Description: bacterial SSU rRNA
Rfam family: Bacterial small subunit ribosomal RNA
Source: RNAcentral
AGAGUUUGAUCCUGGCUCAGAUUGAACGCUGGCGGCAUGCCUUACACAUGCAAGUCGAACGGCAGCACGGGGGCAACCCUGGUGGCGAGUGGCGAACGGGUGAGUAACAUAUCGGAACAUACCCUAGAGUGGGGGAUAACGUAGCGAAAGUUACGCUAAUACCGCAUACGAUCUAAGGAUGAAAGUGGGGGAUCUUCGGACCUCAUGCUCAUGGAGUGGCCGAUAUCUGAUUAGCUAGUUGGUGAGGUAAAGGCUCACCAAGGCGACGAUCAGUAGCUGGUUUGAGAGAACGACCAGCCACACUGGAACUGAGACACGAUCCAGACUCCUACGGGAGGCAGCAGUGGGGAAUUUUGGACAAUGGGGGCAACCCUGAUCCAGCAAUGCCGCGUGAGUGAAGAAGGCCUUCGGGUUGUAAAGCUCUUUUGUCAGGGAAGAAACGGUGAGUUCUAAUACAGCUUGCUAAUGACGGUACCUGAAGAAUAAGCACCGGCUAACUACGUGCCAGCAGCCGCGGUAAUACGUAGGGUGCAAGCGUUAAUCGGAAUUACUGGGCGUAAAGCGUGCGCAGGCGGUUAUAUAAGUCAGAUGUGAAAUCCCUGGGCUCAACCUAGGAACUGCAUUUGAGACUGUAUGGCUAGAGUGUGUCAGAGGGGGGUAGAAUUCCACGUGUAGCAGUGAAAUGCGUAGAGAUGUGGAGGAAUACCGAUGGCGAAGGCAGCCCCCUGGGAUAACACUGACGCUCAUGCACGAAAGCGUGGGGAGCAAACAGGAUUAGAUACCCUGGUAGUCCACGCCCU